RNAcentral lists this ribosomal RNA (287 nucleotides) under uncultured bacterium. RNAcentral's name for it is "partial 16S ribosomal RNA". It matches the Rfam family "Bacterial small subunit ribosomal RNA", at positions 334 to 613 of the family's 1533-position model. The record is from RNAcentral.
GUGUCCUACGGGACGCAGCAGUGGGGAAUCUUCCACAAUGGGCGAAAGCCUGAUGGAGCAACGCCGCGUGGGUGAAGAAGGUCUUCGGAUCGUAAAGCUCUGUUGCGGGGGAAAAAAGGCAGCAUCAGGAAAUGGGUGCUGACUGACGGUGCCCCGCCAGAAAGUCACGGCUAACUACGUGCCAGCAGCCGCGGUAAUACGUAGGUGGCGAGCGUUAUCCGGAAUGAUUGGGCGUAAAGGGGGCGCAGGCGGUCCUGCAAGUCUGGAGUGAAACGCAUGAGCUCAAC